GGGUAAAGAAGUAGAGAAAAUAGUCUUAAGUGCCACAUUCUGGAAGAAGAUGCAAUAUGUGAAAAAAUCUUUAGAGCCAAUUGCACAGGUUCUUCAAAAGGUAGAUAGUGAUGAAAGCCAAUCAAUGCCAUUUAUAUAUCAUGACAUGUAUAGAGCUAAGCUUGCAAUUAAAGCAAUCCAUGGGGACGAUGCACGAAAAUAUGGGCCUUUCUGGAGUGUAUUAGACAUCC
This 230-nucleotide unclassified non-coding RNA is filed under the name Hevea brasiliensis (rubber tree). The record is from RNAcentral. Lineage: Eukaryota; Viridiplantae; Streptophyta; Magnoliopsida; Malpighiales; Euphorbiaceae.